UACGGAGGGUGCAAGCGUUAAUCGGAAUUACUGGGCGUAAAGCGCACGUAGGUGGUUUGUUAAGCUAGCUGUGAAAUCCCCGGGCUCAACCUGGGCACUGCAGUUAGAACUGGCAAGCUAGAGUAGGGUAGAGGGGUGUGGAAUUCCAGGUGUAGCGGUGAAAUGCGUAGAUAUCUGGAGGAACAUCAGUGGCGAAGGCGACACCCUGGACUCAUACUGACACUGAGGAGCGAAAGCCAGGGGAGCAAACGGG
RNAcentral lists this ribosomal RNA (253 nucleotides) under uncultured bacterium. Its description in RNAcentral is "partial 16S ribosomal RNA". It matches the Rfam family "Bacterial small subunit ribosomal RNA", at positions 524 to 776 of the family's 1533-position model. The record is from RNAcentral.